UAGAAAUUUAGAUAGAGAAACUACACCAAAUUUUAGAGAGGGAAACUACCUAAAGAAUUUUAGCGAGAGAAACUAUCUCAACAUUUUUAGAGAUAAAACUAUAUUAAACUUUAAAUUUGAUAUAGUUUCUCUCCAAAUAUUUUGAGAUAGUUUCUCUCUCCAAAACUUUGAAAUUUCAAAUAGUUGACAAUUACUCUUUCUAAAAUUUUUG
This 211-nucleotide long non-coding RNA is filed under the name Amborella trichopoda. RNAcentral's name for it is "long non-coding RNA (ATRI_LNC003876)". The record is from RNAcentral. Lineage: Eukaryota; Viridiplantae; Streptophyta; Magnoliopsida; Amborellales; Amborellaceae.